Molecule: long non-coding RNA, 6425 nt
Filed under: Homo sapiens (human)
Lineage: Eukaryota; Metazoa; Chordata; Mammalia; Primates; Hominidae
Description: HSALNT0098193
Source: RNAcentral
GCAGCCAUGUAAGAGGUGCCUUUUGCUUUCUCCCAUGAUUGUGAGACCUCCCAACCACAUGGAACUUGAGCCCUGAAGCAUGGCAUUGAGAAGCUGCCUAAGAAGGAGGCAGAUCCAUCAGCCUGGGUGCCCGACUGAUUACCCUGAGCAGAGCUCCCCAGCCCACCUGUGAUGGACGCAUGGAGCUUGAGCAAGGAAUAAAUAUUCGUUGCUUCCUGAGAACCCCACUGCGGAUGAGAACAAACGUUUGUUCGGCUGACCCUUUCUCAGAUCCCGCCCACUGAGAAGUGACAGUCCCUCCUCUCCCCGCCUCUCCCUGACCCCCAGCUCUCCGCGGCGGGAUCUGAGCCCUCUCCUGCUGGACUUGUGGUACUUGCUGAACAAUCUCGUGUUGUUGUCUGCCCGCUGGGAGAGAACACUGAUAAGAGAGGCGAUUAGGUGACUAAAUCUGCUGGCUGCCCUUACACAAUGCCAGCAGGGACUCUGAUUACACUGGACCUAUCCAAGAUCUGAGAUCAUCAACUCAUCUCAAAAUCCUUAAGCUGACCACAGCAGCAUCGUCCCUUUUGCAGUGUAAGGGAGCCCAGCUGGGACAAUGUGUGAAUCAACGCAUGAAGGAGUGAGUGAGCAGCUAACCAAAUGAAAGAAUACUCAGAUAUCUGGGGUACAGUUCCCCUCCAGGUUUGCACAGCAUCUGCUGAAGUCUCCACUAGAAACUCAAUGGAAGGUCCCCACCGGAAACUGAAAGUCUCCUAGAGUGGCUUUGAGUUGCGGUUUCACCCUCCCUGCAGAUCCACAGGGGAGGCUGGGGCAGAUGGAAAAUACCAACUUGAUGGUCUGUGGCCACACCAUGCUGCUCCCCAAGGCCCCUCAGAAUUUCACUGCCCAAUAUGGUAGCGCCCAGCCUGAAACGUGGCCAGUGUGAAUUGAGAUGGGCUGGAAAUGCACCAGACUUCCAAGAGCUGGACAAAAACCAUAUACUUUCCAUCCAGCUGUUUGGCAUUGGAUACUGCUGCCUCUGCUUGACUUGAGAAUGUGUGAGAAAAGCUGUGUUUAGACAACUGAAAACCAUGAGCUUGAAAGUAGUGGGGGCACACUCUUGGAGACUCCAGUUGCUCACCAGCUUGGACAAACCACUGGACUCAAAUGAUCAGAGAAGGAACACAGGCUCAGACAUCAGUGCCAUAUCUGAAGACAUUCAGCUAAUAACAGGAUGGAGUCCAAUCUGAAACAACUGUCACGCUGAGCCUAAUUGCUGAAGAUGGUUGAAGGCACCAGGAGGCUGGAGUUUCCUGGAGGUGGUUUGUGGCCAACCGUCAAUUACUUGGGCUGCUGUGCAGUGGGGAUAGAAGGAUGAUUAGAAUCCACAGACAACCCAUUGGCCUUUGUUUACCAUUAACUUCUGUUUUCUCCACCAGCCAAGCUCCUCCAGACCCAGGAGAUGGCUCUUCCCUCUGUGUAGCACACUCUUUCCAGUCAAGGGGUCUUGCACUGCUAUUUCCCCUUCUGCUUUGCUUGGUUCAUUCUUACUGACCCUCCAAAUACUGAAGGAAUGAAUGGAGAAAUAAGUAAAUGAGAGAUGUGGCCAAGAGUCUCCAAGAGAGGAAAUUAAAAAAUCCUAUACCUGUGAGGAACUGGCCCACUUGCAAAAGGCGGACUCAUUUGUCACUGUGUUUGCUGGCUGCUCGCACCACACAGUUUCCAGCCUAGGCAUUAUUUCCAACCUCUUUUUCCAAAGGGUCUUUCUAAGGUACAGAAAAUGGACAUAAAAUCGCCCAACGUAGUUGAGAGGUAAGGAGUAAAAGCCGGAAUUUGAACUCCUAAUCUCCUGCCACGAUUUCAUGCUGCCUCUGGGUAAUCUCCCAGCACGUUGCUUAAUCAGCUGCUGAGUCAUUGAGAGCCGGCAGAACCAGCUUCCUGCUGAGGCAGAGUGGGAGGAGGCCCGUCUGGGAGCAGCACACUGAAGGAAGGGAGGAGGAGGUGAUGUUUGGCACAAUCGGAUUGGUUCCCAUGAGGUCCAGGGCUGCGGCUCCUACAGAAGGCACUUUUUGCAUAUGGUAGGCUUCACGGGGUGCAACCUCUGUGUUGUUAGGAGAACCUCGUGCUUGCUAUGAUGCUCUGCUGUCAUUAUCUUGAAAUUCUUAGUCACAUUAAAACACGGGAGCCUACAUGUUUAUUUUGCACUGGAUCCUGCAAAUUAGCCAGUCCUGGUACUGAGGGCAGGUCCCUGGGUGAGUCUCACACAGCCUCCAUCCUUUGGUAAAGCAGCUUUCCUGAUUUAGCAAAUGCCUUACCAGAAAGCCUUUUCCUUGAAGAUGCUUUAACUUUUGUCUUCCCUGGCAAAGCUGUUUCCUUAUGGUAAAGCACCCAGCUCAUAGCUGAUAUUCAAUCCAUGAAGUAGCUCUGUCAGCAGCUGUCAUCAUGAAGACUUUGCAGCCUGCGGGUGGUAGCAUUCUGAAUCGUCAGUCUGUCUCGCUCCUGUAGCAAAUGCACGAUCCGGGAAAGCAUGUCCCAAGCUUUGUUCUGGAGAAGAUUUCUCCAGCUAUCAGAUGGUGUCUGUCAUCACAAUAGCUUAGGAGAUGCUGCUCACUCCAUCCUCCUCACUAAGUGUCACAGUACACUUGGGUAUGUACAAGUCUCUGAGAAGUCCAGCAGCAAAGACACCUUUGUGUUUUGCUGAUUCUAGCCUUUCCUAGACUAGAAGUCUUUUUUUCUAGUCUAGGAAAAGACUGUGGAAUCUUUUCUUUUUUUUCCUGAUACACACAUUCACAUUCCGUGGAACAUUUAGGACGUGGUUAUCUGGUCCUAAAGUAGUAAAGGUGAAGAUGUUGUGGGAGGUGCAAGAAAGAGCAGCAAGGAGUAGAUGGGGCACACUGCAAAGUGCGAUCCCCACAUACCUAAGUUAGUAUCAAUUACUACUAACAAAACUCGGCCAAGACUCUUUUGCAUUCGUUUUGUUUCUCUCUUUUACCCUGAUUAUAUUAAGAAAUAUGACAGGCCUGUGACUCACUGAUUAGACCAUCUUAGUCACUUUGGGUUGUCCCAGCAACAGGAGACUUAACUCUGACCAUAGGUAAGGAGCCCAGAGGACAGGAGAGCAGGGAUUUCUGAGGAUUUAACAAAUGCUUAUAAACAAAUGAUAUCACUUUGAACAAAGUAAUCAAAGUAUCAAAUGCUAUAAACACCACAGUAGGGCAAUGUGUGAAUCAUACUUGUGGUGAGACAUACAUAGAUCAGCUGCAAAGAGGAACUCAAUUCUGCAGAACCUCAGCUGGAGUAACUGAUGUGAAACAUGGACAGGGAAAUGGAAGGAAGUCAGCGGACACGGAAACUCUAGGAACUGAACUUUGACAAGGAACGCCGUCCAUAAUCCCAAGUCCUAUGACUUCAUAGAGGAAAAAAACCCUAGUGGAGCAGAACAGGGCCUCAUAGAGGGGCUGGGGCCUCACUGAGGGCUGGGAAGUUUGAUAGGACUUCCCUUGCUGGUAAGGAACAAAACUGGGUCUCAGGUUCAGGUUUGUAAAGCUAAUUUCAUACAUUUGCAGCAGAUGCUGUCAGUGUCCCUCCCCAAGCCCCUCAGCACUCAGCAUUCAUAGACAUCCUCAUCUUGCAAGCACCUGAGUCUCUCUCUGUAAGGUUUCUGUUGGCCUCAGGGCAGACCAGGGUACCAGGGAGGGCAGACCAGGGUACCAGGGAGCACAGCCCUCAAAGAAAGAUGACAGGAGUUGGUGUAAAUCUCAUGGCUUUCAUGUUACUUAGGGGGACCAAUGCUGAGGCAUGCUUAGCAUGAUCCUCUGUGAGACUGGGCCUCAGGUGUCCGCUGCAGCCGCCUGUUCAUUAGUGUGACAUGCACGGGAUUCCUUCCGUAUCCUGGCCCCUUUCUCUACUUCCCAACCGUGCUUCCUGAGACAUACUCAAAUCCUUGUCUCACACUUGGCUUCUGGGAGAAUCCAACUGCAAAUGCUGUGUUUUAUUUUUUAUUUAUGUAUUUAAUUAUUUGGAGAUAGGGUCUCCCUCUGUCACCCAGGCUGGAGUAAAAUGGCACAAUCCUAGCUCACUGCAAUAUUAAACUCCUGGGCUCCAGUAAUCCUCAGCCUCCAGGAGCUGGAACUACAGUCGUGCACAGCAAUGCCAGCUAAAGUUUCCUUUAAAUUUUUUGUAGAGUCAAGAUCUCACUAUUUCAGUCAGGUCUUGAACUCCUUGCCUCCCAAAGUUCUGGGAUUACAGCACUUGGCCUCCCAAAGUGCUGGGAUUACAGGCGUGAGCCACUGCAUCUGGCUGUUUAUUCCAUUAAAAUGAUUGAAGGAGUCUCUUGCUUUGGGAAUUUUGCUCCCGUGGUGAGAACACUAUGGGAAUGACAUCUCAAGAAUAUGGCUCCUUCAAAUGAAUUUAAAAUGGUCUUUCUAUUUUUGUCCAGUGGUUACAAUAGCUGAUGGGCUCGAGGUAAGGAGAUGCUAAGCUGCCAUUCUCUCCUUCAACCCAUGGCAUUUACUGAGCUUCUAAAUCAGUCAGGCCCUGGGCUGGACCCUGGGCAUGCAGACUGAAUCAGAGCCUUCAGGACUAGCAGGAGAGACAGGUAUAUAUAGUGGCAAGGGCAAUAUUUAUUCACUCAUUCAUUCUUUUUCCUUUUUUAUGUGCCAAAUCUUUAAUGAGGGCCUACCUUGUACUCAGGAACACCAGGAAUAAACAGAAAACAAAAAGAUAUCAUUUCUGGACUCAGUUCACCAUCUAGAGAAAAAAAAAAAAAAAAAAAAAGACCUGAAAUGGACAAAUACAGUACUGUUUGACAAAUGUCACGUAAGAAGAAGCCCAUGAUACUGAGGAUGGUAUAGGAGGGGCCGUAUCCAGGUUGAAGGAGUCAAAUAUGACAGCUGCCGUGAGAAUUACAAUCAGAAAACCAUGACCCGGAUGCUUAUCCUAUUCAUUGCUUGAGCCUGAGAACACAAACACACAGGGUGUGGCUGAAAUUCCUCUGAAAUUGUAUUGAUUUGAGAAAACUGCAAUCUUGUGUUAAAAUGUGAAUCAUACACAAGGAUGCAAAACAGUUACCGCUGACCAUAAAUCUAGGCUAUCAGAAUGGAAUCUGAUGGCUUGUCUACCAGACUGCAUUGUGAAACCAAUCAAAUGGGAGAUAGACUCACCACUUACCAAGUACCUCUGAGACACCAGGCACCCUGUGGGGUGCCCUACUCAUCAUCUUGUUUAACCAGUUGAUUGGGAAUAGCUCCAUUUUACAGAGAAAGACUGUUAGGCAGCUUUCUAAGAUGGCCCUAAUUAUUCCUUCCUUCUGGUAAUCCCCUUCCUUUAAAUGUGGGCUACACUUAAUUACCUGCUUUUAACAAACAGAAUAUAGCAAAAGUGAUGGGAUGUCAGGAGACUGAAUCAGUAACCAAAAACCUCCAGACAAAGAAAAGCCCAGGGCCAGAGGGCUUCACUGGUAAAUUUACCAAACAUUUAAAGAAGAAUUAGCACCAGUCUUUCUCAAACUCCUCAACAAAUUGAAGAGGAGAGAACACUUCUAAAUACACUUUAUGAGGCCAGCAUUACCCUAACAUCAGAGCCAGACAAAGACACAAGAAAAGAAAACUACAGACUAAUAUUUCUAAUGAAUCUUGAUGCACAAAUCCUCAAAAAAGAAGAAAACAUACUAGCAAACAUAAUUCAGCCGCACAUUAAAAGGAUUAAGCACCAUGACAAAGUGGGAUUUAUUCUUAGUAUAAAAGGAUAUUUCAACGUAAAAAAGUCAAUGUAAUAUAUCACAUUAAUAGAAUGAUGAGAAAAAAUCCACAAGAUUAUCCCAAUUGAUGCAUUUAACAAAACUUAAUACUCUUUCAUGAAAAAACACUCAACAAACCAGGAAUACAUGAAACUACCCCAACAUAAGACAGUCCACAAAUGAAAAGCUCACAACCAACAUAAUACUCAUGGUGAAAAGCUGAAAGCUUCCUCUAAGAUCAGGAAUGAGACAAAAAUGUCCACUUUUGAAUCAACCUGUAUUCAACAUAGUAUAAGAAGUCCUCGCCAGAAUUUUCAGGAAAAAAAAAAAAGAAAGAAAAAAAAGCCAGUCAAAUUGAAAAGAAAGAAGAAAAAUUAUCUUUGCUCACAAAUGACAUGAACUUAUAAAACUCCUAGAAUUAAUAAAUGGAUGCUGCAAUGUUGAAGGAUACAAAAAUCAACACACAAAAAUCAGUUAUGUUUUUAUAUACUAACAAUGAAUGAGCCAAAAAUGAAAUUAAAACAAUUCCAUUUACAAUAGCAUCAGAAAGACUAAAAUACCUAACAAUAAACUUAACCAAGGAGGUAAAAUGCUUGAGUAUUUAGACACUAAAAAUUAUAAGGCCUGCACGGUGGUUCAUACCUGUAAUCCCAGCAUUUUGGGAGGCAGGUGGAUCACUUGAGGUUAGGAGUUUGAGACCAGCCUGGCC